CCAUUUUUCAUCUUUAAAACCUUUGUCUUAGUUACAGGAGCUAGAAGCUCAUUUGAGAAAAAAGAGAAAGAAGAUUCUUACACAAUCUGUUGAUUUCAGCCCUGUGGUCUCUUAAGAACACCAAUUAAUAUUCUGAGAUUCAGUAGGAACUCUCAAGAGUUGGCAAUCCAGUAUCUGGCAACGUAACAGGAAAAGGAAGAAGAAUCUAAUGAGGAAAAUGAGAUUAAGACCAGAAAUUGUAUCCUACAGACCAACACUUGGACCAAAGAUUGAGAAGCAAUGUGAGAGAUUAUAGGGGGAGACUUCACAACGUAAUGACAAGUAAACUUGCCACACUCAACAAAAUAAAAUCCUCCUCAGGGGUUCUUCACAUGCAUAUGAUCAGGUGGCCCUCUGGCUCAGAGAGCUGAACCAAAUGGAGCCUGCUUCCAUGUCAAAGUCGGUUUCUAUGUGUUGUGCUGGGAACUGGAUGCAAAGCUAUUGUUCAAGCCAGAGACAGUAUCUGACAAUUGUUCUGUUGGUACUGAAGUGUUCCAGAGCAGGGACAAGAAGAGGAAAAUGAGAGUGGGGAUACCAGAAAAGCAAAUACUGACAGUGAUGUUGCCUGAAAAUUUUUUUGAAGAAAGGAUUAACUUAACAGCCGAUGAAUUUAUUGUCUCAGCAUUUCACAAGCUAGGUAUGUAUUUAAUACAGUAACACAGUUCAAACACAGUUCUGAGUUCACUAUGCUACGCUGAAUUCAUU
RNAcentral lists this long non-coding RNA (744 nucleotides) under Struthio camelus australis. Its description in RNAcentral is "lncRNA (ENSSCUG00000003450.1)". The record is from RNAcentral. Lineage: Eukaryota; Metazoa; Chordata; Aves; Struthioniformes; Struthionidae.